UAUUACUCAGCCAUAGAAAAUAAUGAAAUCUUGCCAUUUUCAAUGACGUGGAUGGAACUGCAGGGUAUCAUGCUAAGUGAAAUAAGUCAGACAGAGGAGACAAAUGCUAUAUUUUUAUUUACUUACACAAGGAACCUAAAAAAACAAACAGAUGAACUUAUAUAACAAACAGGAACAAAGAACAAGCCAGUAGUUGCCAGAAGGAAAGAAGGGUAGAGAAUGGGUGAAAUAGGUGAAAGAGAUUAAAAGGUACAAUCUACCAGUUAUAAAAUAAACAAAUCACAGGGUUGUAAUGUACAGCCUAGAUAAUAUAGUUAAUAGUAUUGUAAUAAUUUGGUAUGGUACAUAAUCUAUGAAAAUAUCAAAUCACUAUGUUAUAUAUCCAAAACUAAUAUAAUAAGCCAACUAUACUUUUAAACAAAAAGAAAUAUUUUUUAAUAAACAGCAUUAUAUCUUCAUUGUGAGAUCUGCAAAUUUCUGCUAAAUAUGUCUGGCUACUUUUAGUUGCCAAUGGCUGACAGAGCAGUUACUAAAAAUUCUCAAAAGAAAUUUAACUAUGCUUAUAAGGAAUGUUUUCUUUCAUUUUCAGUGACUGCCAUCGAUUUUCUUGGUAAAAGGAUCCAUUUAUAUUUGUCAAUGAUAUUCUAGUAAUGCUUGCAUACCUUAUAAAGAUUGGGAGCUGAGACAUCUACCCUGCCACUUAAUGCACUGUGAUCCUCUCCUUCCCUUCUCUCAUCUUACUUAGGAAUCCAAAAUGUGAAUCAGGAAGCACAUACAUUGGCAGAAAAUGGCAGAGUAUAUUGGAGAGUAUAUUAAAGACUUGGGUGAAUAAUUUAAUGUCUUGUUCUAGCAGUAUGGACCAAAUAGACAACUGAAGACUAUCAUCAAUUAUUUUAGCUAAUCAUAUUUCUUUCUACUGACACAACAAAAUGUUCUAAAAGCAAUAUUUUUUUUUAGAAAACCUUUUCAACAGAAAAAUUAUUUAGUCAUGCAUCAUUUAUCUAGGAAAACCUAUGCAUGGAAUUUUAUUUCAUUUGACCUUGAAGUAUGUUUAUCUGACUGACAAACUUGAGCUAAGUCAGUAUCUUGUGCUAAGCUGGACUUUCUCCAGACACAAAAAAUAAAUAAGGUUGAAAACAAUUGGUGGGGAAGGAUUUCUUUUAUAUUUCCUGAAUAUUUGGUAUCCUCCCCCCAAAACAAAGCAAAACAAAAUAAAAACAACCCAUGAUUUUUUGGGAGUUGGUUGGACAGGUAGGUACAUUUAUGAUUUAAGAAACUAAUAAUGUCAAAUCAACAUUAAGAGAGAACUUGAAAUGGAAAUACAUUUUACUUUUUUGUAAACAGGCAUUCAUUAUCUGUCAUGCAAAAAGUCCAUAAUAAUUACUGGCAUAUGAAAUGCGCUGGAUUAUUUGUAUUCAAGCGAAAUGCUAGCCAGUGAAAACUAUUUUUUAUACUUAGCUUACAUUUCCACAUUAAAAAAGCAGAAGCUUUUUCAAUUUGUUUACCAUAUUUUUAUAAAUUAUAAGAUUUUAUAGAAAUAAAAUAUAUAGAAAUUUAAUAAAUAUAGUAAGAUCCAAAAAUAUAACAUUUUCUAUGACAGAGGUGGUGACAAAGACUUUAAAAUGUUCUGUGAUCCCUUUAACUAGUUAUAAAAUAGCCCAUCCCUAAGAUUAAUUUGAACCUACUAUGACUUAUAAAAUAACUGAAUGUGCAACCAACUUUUUAAAGGUCACAGGGAAUUGAAAAGGGGUGGAUGCAUAAAAAAGGCUUCCUUUUUUUUUUUUUGAUAUGAGUUUUUCUCUAAAGCUUUAGAGAAACCUUUGGCCCAGAAAGUAGUUGAGUAGGGAUUAAGUUCUUGCAGGGAGAAAAAAAAGUUUGUUCCCUGAAGGUAUUAUAAGGAUCCCAGCUGUUGGGGUACAUACUCCCUGGUUAUGAUUGGCACUGAAAUGUCAAAGCUCAAAAUCCCAAACCACUAAAUUGCCUGCCUUAAUCAGGCAAGCUUGUUUACUCACAUUGUUCUGGAUCAGCCAAGAGCUGCUUAUCCAAGUUUCUCUCAUUCUUUAGGCUGGGUAGACACCUCCCCUUGCCCUUCAAUUGUACAGUUUUUUUGUUUUUUUUUCUUUCCCCCUCAAAAAGAGGUGAUUUUUUUUCUGCUAUACUUCUUUAUAAAACUUUUGCUUAUGAAACUCUUCUGGAAAAACUACACAGAAAAUGAGGAAAAGAAAUAUGACAACUAGAACUGAUCAAGCAAGAGUAUAAUUUGACUUUGUAUAUCUAGAUUUGUCAGAGGAGACAUUUAGAUACAUAAAAAUUUAAUAAUGAUUCAUAAUAAUAGCUUAUAUAACAUAAAAUACGUAAUUUCAUACAUGCAUAUGAUAUAGAUGUUCUAUAUCUAUGUAUAAAAGAGGAUUUAUAGCCUGUGAGGCAGGUCUUGAAAGCUAUUUACAAGGGAUAUAUUUUUAUUAGACUUGAUUCUUCAGUAGGUAUGUCUUAUACUUUUAAAAUUUUUGGUGAUUAUAGACAGUCUGAUCAUUCAAAAAAAAAAAAAAGCUUCUUUGUUGAUUUAUCCCAAUGAUGGAGUAAGACUUUUUCUUCAGUUCUAAAACAGCCAAGUAAAUUGUUCUAAGCACUUUGCACGUGUUAUUAAUUAUCUAAAAUAAAAGUUUGCAAGAAAAAAUUAACUCCACUAUUUCCAUUGUCCUAUAAACCAGUGCACUUUAAUAUGCAUCACCUGGAAGGACUAUAAAAAUGAGUAUUCCAAAUCAGGAGGUACUGGGGAGGCCCUAAGAUUCUCUAGUCCUAGAUGAACUCCUAGCUACUGCUGUUGCUGCUGCUGCUAUUGUAUGGAUCAAACUUUGAGGAAUGAGGUUGUAGUAGUGUUUCAAGUAAUUUUUUCAUGCUCCUGUAUACAGCCCUGUGUGGAUCUCACUGUUUUUCUGGUUAGCUGCAAGUUUUUCAAAGUCGAGGCAAGUGCAAACAACCUCUCAUCUUAAGCUGCUCUCCCCAACAAUUCUUUUUUCUUUUCUUUUUUUUUUUUUUUUUUUUUUUUUUUUUUUUUGAUAAUGGCCCCAGACUCAGAGAUAAUAAUUCCAGGUAGCAGCAUCAGAAGUAUCACUUUAAGAUUAUAGGAAGAAAAAAAAAAAGCUUAGUUGUGUUGAAAAUGAAAAUCAUCAUGGGGUAAUCCUAGUUCAGGGAAGCAAAACGGAGUUAGGUGGCCACUGAAGAUCCAGUUCCAGACAUGUUUCUCACCACUGAGAACUUGACCGUUCUAAACCUUACUAAAUCACAACCUCCUAAAGACCACCAGCCAUUUUUGCUUUUUGUUUUUUUAGAACAACAUCUAGGUCUCAAGGUUCCCCUUUGCAGAUAAAUAACCAUUUCUGACCUCAACCAAUACUUGCUUAAUAAGCAUUCUCCUUGCCAGCUCCAAUCACAAUUUGGGACACAGAGCUUCUGAACUAACUGUGGCCUUGUGGUCUUUGCCUUUAUAAGCCACCUUCAGUCUGUAGUCCAAAGGAACACAACACAAGUUCUUCUCAUAUCCAUGCUUCUUAGGCUGAAGUCCAACAAAGACCAAAUAAAUGCCUCUUUAUCUCAAUCUGGUCUUCACUUCUGAAAAUGUUUGUUAACACUUGCUUAAUAUUGGCAUAAUAUGACAUUGGUGGCCACUUGUGUGUCAGCUAUCCCAAUAUUUAUUCUACCGGGAGUUUUUAAAAAAAUCCAUUUCUGGCUAGAGUAAGACCAUAUUGUUAAACUACUGUGUAGUUUUCUUAGUGUGUGCACAAAGUAUGGUUUUGUUGAUUUAUUUUAAUUUUAUUGGAGUAUAGUUGACUUACAAUGCUGUGCUAUUUUCAGGUUCACAGCAGAGUGAAUCAGCCACAAAUAUACAAAUAUCCAUUACUUUUCAGAUUCUUUUCCAUAUAGGUCACUGCAGACUUCUGAACAGAUUUCUCUGUACUAUAUAGUAGGUCCUUAUUACUCAUCCAUUUCACAUAUAGUAGUGUGUAUAUGUCAAUCCCAACCUCCCAUUUCUUCUCUCUUUAAAAUGCUUCCUCCUUGGCACCAUAAGUUUGAUUUCAAAAUCUUUGAGUGUGUUUCUCUUUUGUGAAUAUGUUCUUUUGUAUCAUUUUUAUCAGAUUCACAUAUUAGUGAUCUCAUAUGAUAUGUAUCUUUGUUUGACCCAGAAAUAUUGCUUAGUCAUGAGAAGGAACAAAAUUAUGUCAUUUGCAGCAGCAUAGGUAGACAUAGAGAUUGUGUAGUUUUUAUCCAUGGAAUCAUGGCAAAUUUGUUAUGAAACCAUGGAGGAAAUUCAGGGUACCCCAUAUUUAAAUCAGACUAAUACCUAAUUGCAAUUCACAUACACUGCACACUCUUGCAGUGGACUUCUUUCGAUGGACAUUUGUGGGACAUAUAAUUUUCUCAGGCUCUUUGCCGAUUCUGAAAUAUCCAACCUCAGCAUAUAUUCUAUCCAAAACUCCUACUGCUUAUUAACUAUUUGCCAAAAUUGCUUCUUUCUUCCAGUCCCUGCAUCAUCCAGCUAGACUACUAGCAACUAUAUAAACUCUUAUAGUUCAUGAACUUUAGUUUAAGAGUUUUGAUUUCUCAAUAUCAUUUAGUAUAGAUCAGCAAUGGGCCCAUCAAACUGUUUGGAUCCUUAUCCAAAAUUAGCAAAUUGACUCAUAAGCUCUCUCUAUAUCAAAUAGUUCCAAAUGUGAAAAAUUAUGUCUCACUCAUCUUUGUUGAGCAUCUUCCACAUCCUAUCUCUACAAAUUUGCCAUACAUGUUUUAAUGAUGAAAAUUGGCAAAAAGCCUUAAAUUCCUUAUGUGCAUAAUAUUUUUAUCUCUUGCUCUUACUGUAAAUUUUACUGAAAUCUUCCAUUCCACCCAAGGCCCUGUUGAAUAUAUCCCAUUCAUUUGCCAUUCAAUAUUCAGCCACUGAGAAGAAACUUCACCUAGGAAUGUCUUCAGUCAAGGAUGACACUGUAUUUCUAAAAGAGAUGCAUAGUUAGGAGUUCAGGCUCUGGUAUAGUGAGUUAAGGAUCUGGCACUGUCUCUGCAGGCAACUCGGUUGCUGCUGAGGCAUUGGUUUGAUCCCUGGCCCUGCACAGUGGGUUAAGGAUCAGGGGUUGCUGCAUAGGUUGCAACUGUCUCUGAUUUGAUCCUAAGCCCAGGAAUUCCAUAUGCUGCAAGUUUGG
RNAcentral lists this long non-coding RNA (5195 nucleotides) under Sus scrofa (pig). RNAcentral describes it as "lncRNA (ENSSSCG00000060454.1)". Lineage: Eukaryota; Metazoa; Chordata; Mammalia; Artiodactyla; Suidae. The record is from RNAcentral.